GGGGGUACAGCUCAGGGGCAGAGCGCAUGCUUAGCAUGCAGCAGGUCCUGGGUUCAAUCCCCAGUGCCCCCA
Molecule: transfer RNA, 72 nt
Filed under: Camelus bactrianus (Bactrian camel)
Lineage: Eukaryota; Metazoa; Chordata; Mammalia; Artiodactyla; Camelidae
Also listed under: 1 other name
Rfam family: tRNA
About the family: Transfer RNA (tRNA) molecules are approximately 80 nucleotides in length. Their secondary structure includes four short double-helical elements and three loops (D, anti-codon, and T loops).
Source: Rfam by way of RNAcentral